GGACUACUGGGGUUUCUAAUCCCGUUCGCUCCCCUGGCUUUCGCGCCUCAGCGUCAGAAGAGGUCCAGUACGUCGCUUUCGCCACCGGCGUUCCUUCCGAUAUCAACGCAUUUCACCGCUCCACCGGAAGUUCCACAUACCCCUACCUCCCUCGAGACUGCCAGUAUCCAAGGCACUUUUCCGGUUAAGCCGAAAGAUUUCACCCCGGACUUGGCAACCCGCCUACGCGCCCUUUAAGCCCAGUGAUUCCGAACAACGUUCGCACGGUUCGUCUUACCGCGGCUGCUGGCAC
RNAcentral lists this ribosomal RNA (292 nucleotides) under uncultured Planctomycetota bacterium. RNAcentral's name for it is "uncultured planctomycete partial 16S ribosomal RNA". The record is from RNAcentral. Lineage: Bacteria; Pseudomonadati; Planctomycetota.